Spinacia oleracea (spinach) is the source of this 472-nucleotide long non-coding RNA. RefSeq lists it as uncharacterized. The transcript has 2 exons. The record is from RefSeq and is a predicted model, not a curated record. Lineage: Eukaryota; Viridiplantae; Streptophyta; Magnoliopsida; Caryophyllales; Amaranthaceae.
CUUUCUCCCACUUUAUCAUUCUCUUUUCAUUUCUCUCUCCUCUUUGCCAUUAAAAGGUCCAUUUAAGCUCAUCUUAAGCACUUAAGCUGCUUCUCAAUCCUCCAUAUUAACGUAUAUAAGCUCCUCAAAAACUUCUUAACUCUAAAGAAGUGAUCGAAAUUCAGCGUCAAUGUUCUAUUCUCAUCAACUGCUUGCUCAAAAAGCUCCACUCGAAAAAUGUCACAGGUUUUCAGAAAUAUACCGUCCUAGCUAGUUUCAACUCCGUCCUCGACAAAGAAAUCACAACCAUCAAUGGAGAUAAAACACUGGAUUUUAGCAAUCAGGGGAUACAAGAAGGAGAAGCAACUAUCUCUUUUGUUUUAUUUAACUUUUGUGUAAUACAAAAGCCCAUCGCAACAAUAUGUAGCUUCUAGUUAUAGGUUGUAAUCGUAUUUCUAUGCAAAUUAUGUAAAAAAAAAUACUUUAAGGAGAA